RNAcentral lists this long non-coding RNA (774 nucleotides) under Felis catus (domestic cat). RNAcentral's name for it is "lncRNA (ENSFCAG00000051146.1)". The record is from RNAcentral. Lineage: Eukaryota; Metazoa; Chordata; Mammalia; Carnivora; Felidae.
UGGGCAUUGAUGAGCAGGUUGAGGUGAUCUGAUCUGAGGGCCAUGGGAGCCUUCUGAGAUCACACUAUGGGUACUUGCCCUGACAUAUGAAGCCCUAGCAUGAAAGAGCUUCUACAAGCUCAGCAAUGCAGUGCAGCUCAGCCCCACAUGAAGAAUGCAUGAUGGAGUGCUAGGGAAGUUCUGAAGCUCUCCAAGGAACACACAGUAUAAUCACAGGGCCAGAUGCUGCUAAGUUAGGGCGGUAGUGGCCUGAGCAGGAGCGUCUCGAUAAAAACACCCUACAACAACAGAAACGUGGAUCCUCAGAGACAGAGGAAUGUGGGACUCCCAGCAUAACAACACCAAUCCUCUCUAAGGAAAUGCUCCCCCACUACUCUGGCUACCUCUGAUCCCUUUUACAAGAGCCCUCCUGCCUCCCAAGCAGUCACGAUCACAAGGUACGUGAGAGCUGGAACACUGCCUGGUGCUCCAAAGCCCCCUCACAACCAGGCACAGUGCUGCAACAUGGCAGAUGCUAUGAAGAGGUUGAUUCAGCAGUUGUGACGAGAUUGUGGCUUCUCAGUCCUGCUCACAAUCCAGCGUGCUCCAGAAAGGAGGUUUCAAUCCUUCUCUCCACACCAGCCAAAGAAGUGGUGACUAAGCAACCAGUAAUUACAAGGAAAAAGAAAAAAGUCUCGGUUUCUGCUUAAGAUGGAAACGAUGGCUUCCUCAAAUUCCUGUCACAGAGAAUAUACUUGUGAGAUCAGCAGCCUGAUGUGUGUUAGUGCUUCCGGG